This 483-nucleotide ribosomal RNA is filed under the name Triticum aestivum (bread wheat). RNAcentral describes it as "partial small subunit ribosomal RNA". The record is from RNAcentral. Lineage: Eukaryota; Viridiplantae; Streptophyta; Magnoliopsida; Poales; Poaceae.
AUGGAGGAUGAAUUCAUGUUAUUUGUCUUCCCUACCAUGGAAGAAGGAAGAGAGAAAAAACCAAUGCAUACAUCUAGUCUUACAGGAGCUGCUUAUGUCCAGGAAAUCUUAAAUGGGCAUGAAAGCUUAUGCAAAAGGCAUUUCAGAAUGGAGGCUUACAUCUUUCAUGCUCUGGUUGAGAAGCUGCGUGAGAAUGAAAUACUUGAAGAUUCAACAAUAGUCUCCUUGGAAGAAAAGGUUGCGAUAUUUUUAUAUGCAGUUGCAAAAAAUGCCAGUAAUGAAACCUUGCAGGAUAGGUUCCAGCACAGUGGGCAAACCAUCAGUCGACACUUUGGAGAUGUACUAGAGGCAAUUACAAAGCUUGCAAGCAUCUAUAUACGCCCACCUUCUCUUCGACCACAUCCAGUCUUGAGGAGAUCACAUUUCCAUCCCUACUUCAAUGUAAGCAUACAUUUUCAUAUAUUUCUGACUUUGUAUUGGUAA